RNAcentral lists this ribosomal RNA (459 nucleotides) under uncultured bacterium. RNAcentral's name for it is "partial 16S ribosomal RNA". It matches the Rfam family "Bacterial small subunit ribosomal RNA", at positions 338 to 795 of the family's 1533-position model. The record is from RNAcentral.
CCUACGGGGAGCAGCAGUGAGGAAUAUUGGUCAAUGGGCGCGAGCCUGAACCAGCCAAGUCGCGUGAGGGAAGACGGUCCUAUGGAUUGUAAACCUCUUUUGUCGGGGAGCAAAAGACGCCACGCGUGGCGUUCCGAGAGUACCCGAAGAAAAAGCAUCGGCUAACUCCGUGCCAGCAGCCGCGGUAAUACGGAGGAUGCGAGCGUUAUCCGGAUUUAUUGGGUUUAAAGGGUGCGUAGGCGGGCUGUUAAGUCAGCGGUAAAAGCCCGGGGCUCAACCCCGGCGAGCCGUUGAAACUGGCUGUCUUGAGAUGUCGAGAGGUAUGCGGAAUGCGCAGUGUAGCGGUGAAAUGCUUAGAUAUUGCGCAGAACUCCGAUUGCGAAGGCAGCUCACUGGACUGCAACUGACACUGAGGCUCGAAAGUGUGGGUAUCAAACAGGAUUAGAUACCCGAGUAGUC